UAUCCCCUUUUCGUCAUUCUCUUCCUCCAAACUACGCCCUGCAGCUUCGUCGUGCCUUACCACCAUAUCACAUACGUCAACACCGUCUUCGAGAUGGUUAGCAGCUACCGUGUAGAAGAAGUGGUCGGUCACAACUGGUUAGUGCCUCUCUCAAGAUUUCUCCUUCUUAGGUUUAGGUUUUGCCUUUGCAUUUUCUAGCUCCUUUGAAACCCUAGGAAUGUUAGUAGUUGCUGGAAUUUGGAUUUCUUUAUCGUGAAAUGAUAAUUUAAUCAUGUAGUGAAGGUUUAGCUUUUAUCUUCUUCCAACAUGCCAUCUAAUUUUCAAUUAUCUGUUUCACCACCACCAGAGACUUUGCCCAAAAUCAAAGAAACCCUAAGGUGAUGUUUUGAAUAUUUGCUUAUAUAACAUUUGUAUUGAUUUCCUUAAUAAAAAAAUUGGUAAUGCAGAUUAAAUUGAAGCUGAUGCCUUUCCAUGUUUGUUGCUGUUACUAGUAAAUACUGCUUAUUUGUUAUUAAUAAAAACAUUGCUUCCCAUGUUGGUCAAAAUGAGUGAUGCUUCUUUGUUACUAAUAAAUAUAUGCCUCCUUCAUUCAUUGCACAGUAGAGAAACAAGAAUAAAUAAAGAUUAGUGUUGGUGGCUAUUUCAAGAUCAUUGGGAGAGGGUCUAGUCCAUGAGAGUGUCCUACCAAGUACACAAUGUAGGUAUGAAAACAGAGUAUCUAUCCAUGUUUAUGUUACAUUUCUUGAAUAGAUUAACACUGAAAAUAGUUGAAUAAGAAACAGUGGUGGAGGAAUGCAAUACAGAGCUUGCUUUCCUUUCUAAGGGCAUUAGUGGGUUCUUGCAAGAAAGUGCACAGAAGUAAAUAUGAUUUUUCUUUUCUCCUCUUUCCCUUUUUAUUUAUCAUGGUAUCAUUUAAUAAUAAUUUAUCAUAUAAAUUAUUGUAAGUUUUUUUGUUAUUCCUUUCUCUUCACUGUACUUUCAAAGAAAUUAAUGUCCCUCAUUUGUUACAUCCAACCCAAUUCUUCUUAAUUCCAUAGUAACAUUCAAUAAUUAGUCAAAUACAACAUCAAAUAACC
Molecule: long non-coding RNA, 1076 nt
Filed under: Phaseolus vulgaris (common bean)
Lineage: Eukaryota; Viridiplantae; Streptophyta; Magnoliopsida; Fabales; Fabaceae
Description: long non-coding RNA (PVUL_LNC003293)
Source: RNAcentral